RNA transcript from Photinus pyralis (common eastern firefly), 3499 nucleotides. RefSeq lists it as uncharacterized. The transcript is spliced from 7 exons. The record is from RefSeq and is a predicted model, not a curated record. Lineage: Eukaryota; Metazoa; Arthropoda; Insecta; Coleoptera; Lampyridae.
AAAGUGUUAGUAUAUUCACUCAUAUGCUUUUUUAGUGAAUAGGGGCAGUGUUGAAAUCAUUUGCCAAGAUAAUGACCGGAACCAGGAGGAAGAAUUUCACUCUGAUGAUGACAACUCAAGAGGUGAGAAUAUACCCACUAAGUUUUAACACCUACACCAUUUUCUUUCAGAAAACACUAAUAUCUCGGAAGUUGUUAGUAAAAAGAAUGGAGGGAAGCUAAUUCUUGGAGAUCAUUCUAAUGAGGCGCAGUCAAGUUCUGUAGGUAAUAUACCUUCAGAAUGUGUUGAAAUUUAAUGCCAUCGAUGAACAAAGUACGCCUGAAGAUCCAUUUGCUACAAAUUCUGAUAGUGACCCCGAUUAUACACCUUCAGGCGAAGAACAUAUUGAGGAAGUAUCUGGCGAAGAUACUAAUAACGCUAGUACAUCCCUCGUCACCAAAAAGAAAAGGAAACAGGGAAGCAUACAGAAAGUAGGUAGGAAACGUGCUAGGAACAUGAACGAGUGGGCAAACGUAAAAUCAAAAACCCUCCUUAAUCUUGGACUUGAACAUAACAACCGAAAGGGAAUCACAGUAAAAGCGAGAAAAUUAGGUGCACCAUGUGGAGAGAAAUGUAGGCUAAAAUGUACUACUAAAAUUAAUGGGAUUGAUCGAUCCCUAAUUUUUGAUGAAUUUUGGCAACUAAAAGAUCAUACACGACAAUGGGACUUUAUCAUGCGUCACGUAAGGCAAUUAGAUAAGAAACAAGUAACUGUUAAAGAUGGACUACAGUCUCGAAGAACUUUUUCACGACAGUAUCAUUUUAAUUUACGCAACGCAGAACUACGUGUAUGCAAAAGUAUGUUCUUAAAAACACUUGACAUUUCAGAAACUUGGGUUGGCACUGCACUGGGAAAAUUAAAGGAAAUGGUACGCUAGAAGAAGACAUGCGUGGUAAACAUAAAACACGACCGCACAAACUUAAAGAAACAAUUAGAGAAAGUGUCAGAACUCACAUAAAAUUAUUUCCUUUAGUUCCUUCACAUUACACGCGCAAAAAUUCGGCAAAAAUGUACCUUGAGGAAGGAUUGAGUAUUCAAAAGAUGUAUCGUUUGUAUACCGAAUAUUGUUCCCAAAAUAAUAUCAUGGAACUUGCAACAUCUCGGCAAUAUAGAGACAUUCUUAAUAAUGAAUUUAACAUGGUUUGUUUAAACCAAAAAAGGAUCAAUGUGAAGUUUGCUCAGUUUUUAACAUGUCAACAGAGCAAGAAAAGGAAAACCUUCGUGAAAAAUACGAGCGUCAUUUGAAAAAUAAGACAGCUGCAAGAGAUUUGAAAGAUGCCGACAAAGAUCUUGGAGUUAACAAUAAAGGGAUUUGUGUGGCGUGUUUUGAUCUCCAAAAAGUUUUGGCUACUCCACAGUCAAACAUUUAUAAUGGCCGAAAGAGUAGAAGAGAUUGUGUCGCAAAUUCUCAACAGUUCAACUCUUCGCAAUACAUUGGAAACUGCGGUUCGACAAGCAACGCAGGGCUCUUCUGCGAGCCCAGAUAGUAACCCGAUUACGUCAGCAGUGCCACCACCAUUGGCACGUAAUGUUGCCACAACAACUAGAGAAGAAUUGAGACGUCUGUUCCCAACAAUCAGAUCUACCUCUGCAGCUGAUCAAUCAAAUAGGAUGAUUGCCUCAAGGACUAACAAUACAAGGAAAAGAAAACGUGCACAUUCUCCCGUGCAUUCAAAUUUCUGCAGGGAUGUUCUAUUAUUGAAAUCACCACGCACAAUCUUGACGCUUAAAGGAAGAGAAAAAACCAAAGCAUUUGAACAAGGCUUUGCAUUUUCGAAAGUAAAGUUUAACUCUGGGUGGAAUCGCGAAGAAGUCAACACUGCAUUUCGAGACUUGUUCCAAUCACUUUUAGCUGAUGUUGAAUUUGAAUUGCUAAUUCCUAUGAGUGGACGCUUAGUGAAGCCAAACCUUCCACCAGGUGGAGAGCUGAAUGGGGAUACAAUUCGAUCAAUAUUCAAUCACAAAAUGAUUUAUAUUAGACCAACUGUUCAGCUAACGACUAUUGAUGUGACUGAUUAUCUAGCGUGUCCCGACGUUCUCAGUGAUAGUUCCCAUGAAGAUGUGGAUAUAGCAAAUCCCGAGGCAAAUCCAGCCUCAUCUGAAAGUCCAAAUGAAAUCCAAGAUGAACACCCUGCAUUGUCACUUGAACAAAGCGAAACGACUUCUGGGACAAACGAGGGACAUUCCGAAUCCGAGAUGACCCUGAAGAGUCUAUUACAGAACCUGAAUGAGCAGAUUACUGAAGAAGGAGUGACAAUGUUCAAUAUAUACCGUGAAGGUAUCUUCGAUUGCUGCCUGAGAGCUCUAAAGCGUUCAUCUUUCUCGCCCUUUCAUAAAAUAUCAGUGAACUUCAGUGAUAUUGAAGGAACAGGUGAAGGAGCCGUAGAUGCUGGAGGUCCUAGUCGAGAAAUGUUCCGACUAGUUCUGAACCAUAUUAAAGAGAGCUCCAUGUUCUGUGGAUCUGAUAAAAAGUAUAUCCGACUAGACAUGAGAGCAAUGAAUGAGAGGCAUUAUUACGCAGCCGGACAAAUGAUUGCCCUUUCUUUAAUCCAUGGAGGAGACGGGCCUCAUUUUUUUUCACAGAGUUUUUAUUCAGUUCUUCGCCAGGAUAUUGCGGAGGGCUUUCCAACUAUCAAUGAUAUUGAUGACCAUCAUAUUCGGGAUGAAUUAAAUAAAUUGUCAAAUGCUACCGAUGCAUCUGUCAUUCAGGAUAUUUUUCACCAUAGCAGGGUAUGAAGUUAUAACAGACAUGAAAACUAAAGAUCAAUUGUUGGAUGAUGUAACAAAAUUCUACGCCUUCCAUCGAAUAAGACCGGCCUUGGAGCAGUUCCGAGAAGGUUUGAACACAGGAAUGAUAUACGAGCUACUGAAGAGUCACCCAAACCUCUUCCAGAAUACUAUGUGCCAGACUGAAGAUAUAACAAGUAAUACACUGGAAAAAUUGUUUUCUAUUAUGUAUAGCGAACAAGGCAGUUCUAAGCGGUCCAUUGAGAACCGUAUAAUAAGCUUCUGGAGAGAUUUCUUGCUUGACUGUGAAGACAAUGUAACAGAGGUAACACUAAAAGACGUCAUUAUUUUCAUUACGGCAGCUGAAACUGUUCCACCUCUGGGCUUCAGCAUUGCACCAAAAAUUACAUUUUUACACGAUGAUGCCACGCUCUAUCCAAAAGCCAACACAUGUGCUUUAGAAAUAUCGCUGCCUACCUGUCACUCAUCCUAUGAUAAAUUCAAACAACAUAUGGCAUUUGGAAUAGGCAACUGCAAGGAUUUUGCAUUUGCGUAAUUUGACUGGCAAUGUUGCCGAGAAUGUGCAAUUAAGUUUUAGUUCUGAUUUUUCGAAAAUAAAAUUUAUUUAGUUUUCCUUUUAUUGAGAAUUCCUUUUCAAUUAACCCUUUUCUAUUAUAUUAAAAUCACUCAACCUAAAAGCUGCUGCCUCUUCAAAAACCACAAAGCACUACG